CGGGAAGUUGAGCAGACUCCCAAGUAUUGAAGAAUUUUCUAAGGCAUGCAAAGGCUCAUCAAGUUUCAAAGCCUGUUUAUGGCGAGACCAGAUGCCAAGCGUGCCAGGAUCUGCUCGACUGUGCGAAGGCGAGCAGAAUCCCAAGCAUUGAAGAAUUUUCUAAGGCAUGCAAUGGCUUAUCAACUCUCAAAGCCUGUUUAUGGCAAGACUAGAUGCCAAGGGUGCCAGAAUCUGCUCGACCGCGCGAAGGCGAGCAGAAUCCCAAGCAUUGAAGAAUUUUCUAAGGAAUGGAAAGGCUCAUCAAGUCUCAAAACCUGUUUAUGGCGAGACCAGAUGCCAAGCGUGCCAGAAUCUGCUCGACCGCGCGAAGGCGAGCAGAAUCCCAAGCAUUGAAGAAUUUUCUAAGGCAUGCAAAGGCUCAUCAAGUUUCAAAGCCUGUUUAUGGCGAGAUCAGAUGCCAAGCGUGCCAGGAUCUGCUCGACCGUGCGAAGGCGAGCAGACUCCCAAGCAUGGAAGAAUUUUCUAAGGAAUGCAACGGCUCAUCAAGUCUCAAAGCCUGUUUAUGGCGAGACCAGAUGCCAAGCGUGCCAGAAUCUGCUCGACCGCGCGAAGGCGAGCAGAAUCCCAAGCUUUGAAGAAUUUUCUAAGGCAUGCAAAGGCUCACAAAGUCUCAAAGCCUGUUUAUGGCGAGACCAGAAGCCAAGCGUGCCAGGAUCUGCUCGACCGCGGGAAGUUGAGCAAACUCCCAAGUAUUGAAGAAUUUUCUAAGGCAUGCAAAGGCUCAUCAAGUUUCAAAGCCUGUUUAUGGCGAGACCCGAUGCCAAGCGUGCCAGGAUCUACUCGACCGUGCGAAGGCGAGCAGAAUCCCAAGCAUUGAAGAAUUUUCUAAGGAAUGGAAAGGCUCAUCAAGUCUCAAAGCCUGUUUAUGGCAAGACUAGAUGCCAAGGGUGCCAGAAUCUGCUCGACCGCGCGAAGGCAAGCAGAAUCCCAAGCAUUGAAGAAUUUUCUAAGGCAUACAAAGCCUCAUCAAGUCUCAAAGCCUGUUUAUGGCGAGAGCAGAAGCCAAGCGUUCCAGGAUCUGCUCGACCGCGCGAAGGCGAGCAGAAUCCCAAUUAUUGAAGAAUUUUCUAAGGCAUGCAAAGGCUCAUCAAGUUUGAAAGCCUGUUUAUGGCGAGACCAGAUGCCAAGCGUGCCAGGAUAUGCUCGACCGUGUGAAGGCGAGCAGACUCCCAAGCAUUGAAGAAUUUUCUAAGGCAUGCAAAGGCUCAUCAAAUCUCAAAGCCUGUUUAUGGCGAGACCAGAUGCCAAGCGUGCCAGAAUUUGCUCGACCGCGGGAAGGCGAGCAGAAUCCCAAGCAUUGAAGAAUUUUCUAAGGCAUGCAAAGGCACAUCAAGUCUCAAAGCCUGUUUAUGGCGAGACCAGAUGCCAAACGUGCCAGGAUCUGCUCGACCGCGCGAAGUUGAGCAGAAUCUCAAGUAUUGAAGAAUUUUCUAAGGCAGGCAAAGGCUCAUUAAGUUUCAAAGCCUGUUUAUGGUGAGACCAGAUGCCAAGCGUGCCAGGAUCUGCUCGACCGUGCGAAGGCGAGCAGACUCCCAAGCAUGGAAGAAUUUUCUAAGGCAUGCAAAGGCUCAUCAAGUCUCAAAGCCUUUUUAUGGCGAGACCAGAUGCCAAGCGUGCCAGAAUCUGCUCGACCGCGCGAAAGCGAGCAGAAUCUGCUCGACCGCGCGAAAGCGAGCAGAAUCCCAAGCAUUGAUGAAUUUUCUAAGGCAUGCAAAAGCUCAAGAUGUCUCAAAGCCUGUUUAUGGCGAGACCAGAAGCCAAGCGUGCCAGGAUCUGCUCGACCGCGCGAAGUUGAGCAGAAUCCCAAGUAUUGAAGAAUUUUCUAAGGCGUGCAAAGGCUCAUUAAGUUUCAAAGCCUGUUUAUGGCGAGACCAGAUGCCAAGCGAGCCAGAAUCUGCUCGACCGCGCGAAGGCGAGCAGAAUCCCAAGCAUUGAAGAAUUUUCUAAGGCAUGCAAUGGCUUAUCAAGUCUCAAAGCCUGUUUAUGGCAAGACCAGAUGCCAAGGGCGCCAGAAUAUGCUCGACCGUGCGAAGGCGAGCAGAAUCCCAAGCAUUGAAGAAUUUUCUAAGGAAUGCAAAGGCUCAUAAAGUAUCAAAGCCUGUUUAUGGCGAGACCAGAAGCCAAGCGUGCCAGAAUCUGCUCGACCGGGCGAAGGCGAGCAGAAUCCCAAGCAUUGAAGAAUUUUCUAAGGCAUGCAAAGGCUCACGAAGUCUCAAAGCCUGUUUAUGGCGAGACCAGAAGCCAAGGGUGCCAGAAUCUGCUCGACCGUGCGAAGGCGAGCAGAAUCCCAAGCAUUGAAGAAUUUUCUAAGGCAUGCAAAGGCUCAUCAAGUCUCAAAACCUGUUUAUGGCGAGACCAGAUGUCAAGCGUGCCAGGAUCUGCUCGACCGCGCGAAGGCGAGCAGAAUCCCAAUUAUUGAAGAAUUUUCUAAGGCAUGCAAAGGCUCAUCAAGUUUCAAAGCCUGUUUAUGGCGAGACCAGAUGACAAGCGUGCCAGGAUAUGCUCGACCGUGUGAAGGCGAGCAGACUCCCAAGCAUUGAAGAAUUUUCUAAGGCAUGCAAAGGCUCAUCAAAUCUCAAAGCCUGUUUAUGGCGAGACCAGAUGCCAAGCGUGCCAGAAUUUGCUCGACCGCGGGAAGGCGAGCAGAAUCCCAAGCAUUGAAGAAUUUUCUAAGGCAUGCAAAGGCACAUCAAGUCUCAAAGCCUGUUUAUGGCGAGACCAGAUGCCAAACGUGCCAGGAUCUGCUCGACCGCGCGAAGUUGAGCAGAAUCUCAAGUAUUGAAGAAUUUUCUAAGGCAGGCAAAGGCUCAUUAAGUUUCAAAGCCUGUUUAUGGUGAGACCAGAUGCCAAGCGUGCCAGGAUCUGCUCGACCGUGCGAAGGCGAGCAGACUCCCAAGCAUGGAAGAAUUUUCUAAGGCAUGCAAAGGCUCAUCAAGUCUCAAAGCCUUUUUAUGGCGAGACCAGAUGCCAAGCGUGCCAGAAUCUGCUCGACCGCGCGAAAGCGAGCAGAAUCUGCUCGACCGCGCGAAAGCGAGCAGAAUCCCAAGCAUUGAUGAAUUUUCUAAGGCAUGCAAAAGCUCAAGAUGUCUCAAAGCCUGUUUAUGGUGAGACUAGAUGCCAAGCGUGCCAGGAUCUGCUCGACCGUGCGAAGGCGAGCAGAAUCCCAAGCAUUGAAGAAUUUUCUAAGGCAUGCAAAGGGUCAUAAACUGUCAAAGCCUAUUUAUGGCAAGACCAUAUGCCAAGGGUGCCAGAAUCUACUCGACCGCGCGAAGGCGAGCAGAAUCCCAAGCAUUGAAGAAUUUUCUAAGGCAUGCAAUGGCUUAUCAAGUCUCAAAGCCUGUUUAUGGCAAGACCAGAUGCCAAGGGCGCCAGAAUAUGCUCGACCGUGCGAAGGCGAGCAGAAUCCCAAGCAUUGAAGAAUUUUCUAAGGAAUGCAAAGGCUCAUCAAGUCUCAAAGCCUGUUUAUGGCAAGACUAGAGGCCAAGGGUGCCAGAAUCUGCUCGACCGUGCGAAGGCAAGCAGAAUCCCAAGCAUUGAAGAAUUUUCUAAGGAAUGCAAAGGCUCAUCAAGUCUCAAAGCCUGUUUAUGGCGAGACCAGAAGCCAAGCGUGCCAGAAUCUGCUCGACCGCGCGAAGGCGAGCCGAAUCCCAAGCAUUGAAGAAUUUUCUAAGGCAUGCAAAGGCUCACGAAGUCUCAAAGCCUGUUUAUGGCGAGACCAGAAGCCAAGGGUGCCAGAAUCUGCUCGACCGUGCGAAGGCGAGCAGAAUCCCAAGCAUUAAAGUAUUUUCUAAGGCAUGCAAAGGCUCAUCAAGUCUCAAAACCUGUUUAUGGCGAGACCAGAUGUCAAGCGUGCCAGGAUCUGCUCGACUGUGCGAAGGCGAGCAGAAUCCCAAGCAUUGAAGAAUUUUCUAAGGCAUGCAAUGGCUUAUCAAGUCUCAAAGCCUGUUUAUGGCAAGACUAGAUGCCAAGGGUGCCAGAAUCUGCUCGACCGCGGGAAGGCGAGCAGAAUCCCAAGCAUUGAAGAAUUUUCUAAGGCAUGCAAAGGCACGUCAAGUCUCAAAGCCUGUUUAUGGCGAGACCAGAUGCCAAACGUGCCAGGAUCUGCUCGACCGCGNNNNNNNNNNNNNNNNNNNNNNNNNNNNNNNNNNNNNNNNNNNNNNNNNNNNNNNNNNNNNNNNNNNNNNNNNNNNNNNNNNNNNNNNNNNNNNNNNNNNNNNNNNNNNNNNNNNNCCGCGCGAAGGCGAGCAGAAUCCUAAGCAUUGAUGAAUUUUCUAAGGCAUGCAAAAGCUCACGAUGUCUCAAAGCCUGUUUAUCGCGAGACCAGAAGCCAAGCGUGCCAGGAUCUGCUCGACCGCGCGAAGUUGAGCAGAAUCCCAAGUAUUGAAGAAUUUUCUAAGGCAUGCAAAGGCUCUUUAAGUUUCAAAGCCUGUUUAUGGCGAGACCAGAUGCCAAACGAGCCAGGAUCUGCUCGACCGUGCGAAGGCGAGCAGAAUCCCAAGCAUUGAAGAAUUUUCUAAGGCAUGCAAAGGCUGAUAAACUGUCAAAGCCUAUUUAUGGCAAGACCAGAUGCCAAGGGUGCCAGAAUCUGCUAGACCGCGCGAAGGCGAGCAGAAUCCCAAGCAUUGAAGAAUUUUCUAAGGAAUGGAAAGGCUCAUCAAGUCUCAAAGCCUGUUUAUGGCGAGACCAGAUGCCAAGCGUGCCAGAAUCUGCUCGACCGCGCGAAGGCGAGCAGAAUCCCAAGCAUUGAAGAAUUUUCUAAGGAAUGGAAAGGCUCAUCAAGUCUCAAAGCCUGUUUAUGGCGAGACCAGAUGCCAAGCUAGCCAGGAUCUGCUCGACCGUGCGAAGGCAAGCAGAAUCCCAAGCAUUGAAGAAUUUUCUAAGGAAUGGAAAGGCUCAUCAAGUCUCAAAAGCCUGUUUAUGGCGAGACCAGAUGCCAAGCGUGCCAGAAUCUGCUCGACCGCGCGAAGGCGAGCAGAAUCCCAAGCAUUGAAGAAUUUUCUAAGGCAUGCAAAGGCUCAUCAAGUUUCAAAGCCUGUUUAUGGCGAGACCAGAUGCCAAGCGUGCCAGGAUCUACUCGACCGUGCGAAGGCGAGCAGAAUCUCAAGCAUUGAAGAAUUUUCUAAGGCAUGCAAAGGCUCAUAAACUGUCAAAGCCUAUUUAUGGCAAGACCAGAUGCCAAGGGUGCCAGAAUCUACUCGACCGCGCGAAGGCGAGCAGAAUCCCAAGCAUUGAAAAAUUUUCUAAGGAAUGGAAAGGCUCAUCAAGUCUCAAAGCCUGUUUAUGGCGAGACCAGAUGCCAAGCGUGCCAGAAUCUGCUCGACCGCGCGAAGGCGAGCAGAAUCCCAAGCAUUGAAGAAUUUUCUAAGGCAUGCAAAGGCUCACGAAGUCUCAAAGCCUGUUUAUGGCGAGACCAGAAGCCAAGCGUGCCAGGAUCUGCUCGACCGCGGGAAGUUGAGCAGACUCCCAAGUAUUGAAGAAUUUUCUAAGGCAUGCAAAGGCUCAUCAAGUUUCAAAGCCUGUUUAUGGCGAGACCAGAUGCCAAGCGUGCCAGGAUCUGCUCGACCGCGCGAAGGCGAGCAUAAUCCCAAGCAUUGAUGAAUUUUCUAAGGCAUGCAAAGGCUCACGAUGUCUCAAAGCCUGUUUAUGGCGAGACCAGAAGCCAAGCGUGCCAGGAUCUGCUCGACCGCGCGAAGGCGAGCAGAAUCCCAAGCAUUGAAGAAUUUUCUAAGGCAUGCAAAGGCUCAUCAAGUCUCAAAACCUGUUUAUGGCGAGACCAGAUGUCAAGCGUGCCAGGAUCUGCUCGACUGUGCGAAGGCGAGCAGAAUCCCAAGCAUUGAAGAAUUUUCUAAGGCAUGAAUGGCUUAUCAAGUCUCAAAGCCUGUUUAUGGCAAGACUAGAUGCCAAGGGUGCCAGAAUCUGCUCGACCGCGGGAAGGCGAGCAGAAUCCCAAGCAUUGAAGAAUUUUCUAAGGCAUGCA
This 6037-nucleotide long non-coding RNA is filed under the name Citrus x clementina. RNAcentral describes it as "Citrus clementina (C. clementina) long non-coding RNA (CCLE_LNC004815)". The record is from RNAcentral. Lineage: Eukaryota; Viridiplantae; Streptophyta; Magnoliopsida; Sapindales; Rutaceae.